UAAUUAAUGUACCAACCCCCCUCCCCCUCUCUCCAACCCGUUGUUUUUUUAGGAGACUCGAACCUAUUCUUCUUCUUCUUCUUCUUCUAUUAAUGUUACUUUCCCUCCUUCUUCAAAACCCUAGCCCCUCUUCUAAAUUUCCCAAUUCUGUUCAAGCAAGUAUUAUUUUUCCUUUAAUUCGAGUAAAUGUUGCAAUAUGUAGAGCUUAGAAGUAAGAUUAAAGUAAUCUUCUUUAUUUAUUUCUGUCCAUUGUUCAUGAAAUGUCUCAAUCUUCUAGUUCUUCAUACGGAUGUGCCGACGUGAAAUUGUAGCUCUACAUCUCACGUCCAAGUCUCCUGAGAAUCCUGGAAGACGUUUUUUUAGAAUAAGGGGUCAUAUGGUUAUUAGGAAUGGGAAGACGAUAAAUUUUCUUUAAGAGCUUUAGUUGUCAUCAAUAAUUGGAAGAGGGAAAAGGAGGCUCUUGUGAAGAAAACAGAUUUUCUGCAGAAAAAAUAAGAUGAUCUUCAUAUUGAAAUCAAUGUAUUAACGGGAAAAGUUGCUAUCUUUGAAGGUUCUUCUAUUGAUCAUGAUAGAGUAGUUGCAAAAUUGAAGGAAAAACUAUUUUGGCAGUGGAUUUUCAUUCUUAUGUUGUUGGGUUGCUUUAUUGGGAUAUUCAGAUUGAAACCAAUGUAUUAAAUUCAUUGUUGUUGUUCAAUUGAUUGUAAUGGCAUUGGGAUGUUUGACAAAAUGUAAAGUAUGUAAUGUAUUUUCUUAUGGUAAAAGAUAUUAGCAAUGUUGUUUGAGCC
Long non-coding RNA from Nicotiana attenuata, 785 nucleotides. RefSeq lists it as uncharacterized. The record is from RefSeq and is a predicted model, not a curated record. The transcript is spliced from 2 exons. NCBI's taxonomy places the organism in Eukaryota, Viridiplantae, Streptophyta, Magnoliopsida, Solanales, Solanaceae.